This 71-nucleotide transfer RNA is filed under the name Sphaerodactylus townsendi. RNAcentral describes it as "tRNA-Ala". The record is from RNAcentral. Lineage: Eukaryota; Metazoa; Chordata; Lepidosauria; Squamata; Sphaerodactylidae.
GGACUGUGGCUCAGUGCAAGAGCCUCAGCUUUGCAAGUGGAAGGUCCCAGGUUCAAUUCCCAGCAUCUCCA